Molecule: ribosomal RNA, 537 nt
Filed under: uncultured bacterium
Lineage: Bacteria
Description: bacterial SSU rRNA
Rfam family: Bacterial small subunit ribosomal RNA
Source: RNAcentral
CGCGUGGGCAACCUGCCCCGUACCGGGGGACAACCUCCCAAAAAGGCUGCUAAUACCGCAUAUUCCCGCGGGGCCGCAUGGCCCUGCGGGGAAAGCUCCGGCAGUACGGGAUGGGCCCGCUCCCGAUCAGCUUGUUGGCGGGGUAACGGCCCACCAAGGCUGCGAUCAGUAGCCGGCCUGAGAGGGCGGCCGGCCACAUUGGGACUGAGACACGGCCCAGACUCCUGCGGGAGGCAGCAUUCGGGGAUAUUGCACAAUGGGGGGAACCCUGAUGCAGCGACGCCGCGUGAACGAAGAAAUAUUUCGGUACCUAAAAUUCUAUCAGCAGGGAAGAAAAUGAAAAAACAUGACCAAGAAGCCCCGGCUAACGACGAGCCAGCAGCCGCGGUAAUACGUAGGGGGCGAGCGUUAUCCGGAUUCACUGGGCGUAAAGGGAGCGCAGGCGGCACGGCAAGUCCGGUGUGAAAGCCCGGGGCCCAACCCCGGGACUGCACUGGAAACUGCCGGGCUGGAGUGUCGGAGGGGCAGGCGGAAUUC